GGCUGCUCCGACGGCAGUGGGUUAUCAGAACUUAUUAACAUUAGUGUCACUAAAGUUGGUAUACCACCCCCCCACUGCUAAAUUUGACUUAAA
Molecule: unclassified non-coding RNA, 93 nt
Organism: Cavia porcellus (domestic guinea pig)
Lineage: Eukaryota; Metazoa; Chordata; Mammalia; Rodentia; Caviidae
Rfam family: Y RNA
About the family: Y RNAs are components of the Ro ribonucleoprotein particle (Ro RNP), in association with Ro60 and La proteins.
Source: Ensembl